RNAcentral lists this unclassified non-coding RNA (339 nucleotides) under Caleana major. RNAcentral's name for it is "partial contains external transcribed spacer and 18S ribosomal RNA". The record is from RNAcentral. Lineage: Eukaryota; Viridiplantae; Streptophyta; Magnoliopsida; Asparagales; Orchidaceae.
GUUCGUGGUAUGUCCUUGGCGAUGGCUCGUGCAUGCCUUUCUCAUCGAUAGGUGCGAUGAGGGGCGUGAGAAAAGGCAUUCACCCUUUCUCAUCGUUCCACGUGCGUUGCUCGUGGAACCGAUGAUAACGGAUGGUGCGUUCUGAAAUAAGUGUGGCUGAUUCGGAGUUGCCUUGGUGCCGUGCGCACCUCUGCUCAUUCUUGGGCACGUUGCCUCUACAUUCGGUGCAACCUCGCUCCUCCGCUUGCUUCCAUCGGAUAGGUGGUGCUUGCGGGGGCAGCGUGCGGGUUGUUCUGAGGUUGUGUUACCUGGUUGAUCCUGCCAGUAGUCAUAUGCUUG